RNAcentral lists this ribosomal RNA (497 nucleotides) under uncultured bacterium. Its description in RNAcentral is "partial 16S ribosomal RNA". It matches the Rfam family "Bacterial small subunit ribosomal RNA", at positions 28 to 507 of the family's 1533-position model. The record is from RNAcentral.
GAUGAACGCUGGCGGCGUGCCUAAUACAUGCAAGUCGAGCGAACAGACGAGGAGCUUGCUCCUUUGACGUUAGCGGCGGACGGGUGAGUAACACGUAGGUAACCUACCUAUAAGACUGGGAUAACUUCGGGAAACCGGAGCUAAUACCGGAUAAUAUUUCGAACCGCAUGGUUCGAUAGUGAAAGAUGGCUUUGCUAUCACUUAUAGAUGGACCUGCGCCGUAUUAGCUAGUUGGUAAGGUAACGGCUUACCAAGGCAACGAUACGUAGCCGACCUGAGAGGGUGAUCGGCCACACUGGAACUGAGAAACGGUCAGGACUCCUACGGGAGGAAGCAGUAGGGAAUCUUCCGCAAUGGGCGAAAGCCUGACGGAGCAACGCCGCGUGAGGGAUGAAGGUCUUCGGAUCGUAAAACUCUGUUAUUAGGGAAGAACAAACGUGUAAGUAACUGUGCACGUCUUGACGGUACCUAAUCAGAAAGCCACGGCUAACUACGUG